RNAcentral lists this ribosomal RNA (685 nucleotides) under Thulinius sp. DVL-2010. Its description in RNAcentral is "small subunit ribosomal RNA". Lineage: Eukaryota; Metazoa; Tardigrada; Eutardigrada; Parachela; Doryphoribiidae. The record is from RNAcentral.
UUUAUGUUGUGAUUUUAGUAAAAAUUUAGGAAAAUUUGAUUUUAGUUUGGUAAAAUUAUUUAGUAAAGACAGGUACUUAAUAAAAGGUACUGUUUAAUAUUUUUUAAUUUAUGAAUAAAGUUUAUUUUUAUCACAAGCAAAAAAUAUGCCAGCAGCUGCGGUUAUUUAUUUUGUCAGGUUUAAUUGGAGAGAUUUUUAGAAAAAAUAUUGCUAAAAAAAAAGUAAAAUUUUUUAUUUUUAUUUUUUUUUCUUUUUGUUUUCAAAAAAAAUAGUUUAUUAAAACCAAGAUUAGAUACCUUGUUAUUUAAUCUAAAAUUUAGAAUAGUAUUUUAAAAAAUUAAAAAAUUUGGCGGUAAUAAAAAAAUUAGAGGGGCUUGUAAUUUGAUAAGAAAAUACACUUUUAUUUUAUUUUUUUUUUGUUUCUAUAUGGUCAUUGCUAUUUAUUUAAAAUAAGAAAAAAAUUAAGAAUAGUUUUCUCUAUUUAGAUCCUUAUAGAGCUAUAAAAAUAAAAUCUAUUAGCCACAAGUUUUUAUUUGUUUUAAAGUAAUCGAAUACUAGAAGGAAUGGAUUUAAAAGUAAUUUUAUAGAUGUUAAUAAUAUGAAUUUUUUUUUAUUAUGCACAUAUCGCCCGUCAUUCUUACUUUUAAGUAAGAGAAGUCGUAACAUAGUGAAACUAUCGGAAGAU